RNAcentral lists this ribosomal RNA (482 nucleotides) under uncultured bacterium. Its description in RNAcentral is "bacterial SSU rRNA". It matches the Rfam family "Bacterial small subunit ribosomal RNA", at positions 37 to 507 of the family's 1533-position model. The record is from RNAcentral.
GACGAGCGUGGCGGCGUGGAUUAGGCAUGCAAGUCGAACGGUAUCAUCUUCGGGGUGAGAGAGUGGCGAACUGGUGAGUAACACGUAGGUUAUCUACCUCAAGACGGGGACAACCCAGGGAAACUUGGGCUAAUACCGGAUGUGAGCAACUUUUAGUUGUUUGAAAGGUGGCGUAAGCUGUCGCUUGGGGAUGAGCCUGCGUCCUAUUAGUUAGUUGGUGAGGUAACGGCUCACCUAGGCAAUGAUAGGUAGGCGGCCUUAACGGGUGGUCGCCCACACUGGGAUUGAGAUACGGCCCAGACUCCUACGGGAGGCAGCAGUCGAGAAUAGUCUACAAUGGUCGGAAGACUGAUAGUGCGACGCCGCGUGAACGAUGAAUCCCUUCGGGGUGUAAAGUUCUUUUAUAUGUGAGCAGUGCUUCUUAUAUUAACAGUAUGGGGAGAGAGAUAUUAGCAUAUGAAUAAGCAACGGCUAACUCCGUG